This is a long non-coding RNA of Humulus lupulus (European hop), 1388 nucleotides long. RefSeq lists it as uncharacterized. The record is from RefSeq and is a predicted model, not a curated record. NCBI's taxonomy places the organism in Eukaryota, Viridiplantae, Streptophyta, Magnoliopsida, Rosales, Cannabaceae. The transcript has 7 exons.
CAGUGUAUUGUACUAGAGGUUAAGGUCAUUGAAGGUCAUGGGACAACUAUUGACGUUUUACUAGUCAAUGGAGUGCUUCAUGAAGGAGAUCAAAUUCUUGUUUAUGGCAUGAAAGGACCAAUUGUUGCUAGCAUUCGAGCAUUGUUAACACCCCAUCCCAUGAAAGAGCUCCGUGUCAAGGGAACCUAUCUACAUCACAAGGAAAUCAAGGCUGCACAGGGUAUAAAGAUCACAGCACAGGGUAUAAAGAUCACAGCACAGAUGAUUAUUCUUGCUAAUCCUCCAUGCUUUUUAAGCCCUAAGCUCUUUGGAAUUGAACUGGUUACUGAUGAGGUCCACAUCUGAAUUGAGAUUUCUUAAUUUUCUAAUAAAUGUUUUAUGCUGGGCCUUGAGCAUGCUAUUGCUGGUACUGGUCUAUAUGUGGUGGGCCUUAAUGAUGACUUGGAAGAUAUCAAGGAAACAACUAUGGAGGAUAUGAAGUCUGUCAUGAGCAGGGUCGACAAGAGUGGUGAAGGAGUUUGUGUGCAAGCAUCUACUCUUGGUUCCUUGGAAGCAUUGCUGGAGUUUCUUAAAACCCCAUAAGUAAAUAUUCAUGUUAGUGGUAUAAGCAUAGGCCAUGUACACAAGAAAGAUGUCAUGAAGGCUAGUGUGAUGCUAGAAAAGAAAAAGGAGUUUGCGAGAAUUUUAGCUUUUGCGUCAGAAGGUGGCCAUUAAGUAUAAUAUAUUUUGAGUUGUGCGAUAGAGAGAUAUCACACUUUUUUGGUUUCAUUGAGCCAUCAUAGUCAUCGAGAAUUGGAGCAAAUAUGGAUAAUCAGGCUGAAAUUAUCUCAGAGUGUAUCAAUUACGCAGUGAUGGGUCAAACUUGGUUAAUGCCAUACCAUUUUUUUGAUCAUUGAUCCAGAUUACCAUACAUUUUACUAUCUUGAUCCACUUAAAAAUCUCCUCCAAAUGAUUUUAAGAACCUUAUGAACAGUGUCUCUUCACACAUCAAGCGAAAGACAAGAAGGAAUGAAAAAAAUUACAAGUGGAAAAUAGUCAAUUGUCCUCGUCAAACAUCAUCAGUAGAGUGCGACUUUUAUAUCAUAAGGAUUAUGAAGGACUAUUGCUUGAAUGAGACGCCCAUGCGAUGACUAACUAGUAAUUGUGCUGGGAAGAAUACAUAUACACUUGGCGAAAUUAAUGAAACUCGAAAUGAAUGGGCAACCAAGCUUCUUGAGCGGAUGAGUCAUAGCUAGAGUAACUUUUGAAAUCAGAAUUAAAAAAAUAUACUAAUUGUAAUUUUUAGUUAGCACUUACAUAGUUAUUGCAAGUAUAUUUUGAUCUUGUAAUUUUUAGAUUUGGAACAUACAAAGUUCUAUUGAUUUGUCUGCCUACUGAUUCUGACUGAA